This 279-nucleotide ribosomal RNA is filed under the name uncultured bacterium. RNAcentral's name for it is "partial 16S ribosomal RNA". It matches the Rfam family "Bacterial small subunit ribosomal RNA", at positions 334 to 630 of the family's 1533-position model. The record is from RNAcentral.
UGGUCCUACGGGGGGCAGCAGUGGGGAAUAUUGCACAAUGGGGGAAACCCUGAUGCAGCGACGCCGCGUGGGUGACGAAGUAUUUCGGUAUGUAAAGCCCUAUCAGCAGGGAAGAAGAUGACAGUACCUGACUAAGAAGCCCCGGCUAACUACGUGCCAGCAGCCGCGGUAAUACGUAGGGGGCAAGCGUUAUCCGGAUUUACUGGGUGUGAAGGGAGCGUAGCCGGCAGCGCAAGUCUGGAGUGAAAUGCCGGGGCCCACCCCCGGACCUGCUUUGGA